Lathyrus oleraceus (garden pea) is the source of this 708-nucleotide long non-coding RNA. RefSeq lists it as uncharacterized. The transcript has 2 exons. The record is from RefSeq and is a predicted model, not a curated record. Lineage: Eukaryota; Viridiplantae; Streptophyta; Magnoliopsida; Fabales; Fabaceae.
GUUUCAUCGAAAAGACACGAAUCAGAGUAGCUUCAAUCUUCAUCCCGUUCAUAUACACAUAGUAUCCAAUCGUGAUUCAAUCAAUCGAGCAAUUCGCACUCUCUCGUCGUCAAAGUACUAGGAAGAGAAACGACGCAAGCGAAGCGACGAAGAGGCAAAGGUGAAAAAUUCAGAGACGAAGAAGAUUGAUGCCUAGGUUUUUUCCACCGCAUCGAAUCCGAUCUUAAUGAGCAUCCAAGACAAAAAGGGAUAAAAAAUAAGCAAAAUAAGGCAAAAGAUAAAAAAAUCAAGUUUUUCUCAUAGUAAAACCAGAAGGCUGCUACGACCACCUGUAGCAGCAAAGGUGCUUAGGGUUCCCAUGAUGCAUUCUCCAGUAAAAUUAGCAGGGACCUGCUACGACCACCUGUAGCAGUUGCUACGGGUCGUAGCAUGAGGGCGAGGACAAAUUAUUUUGUUUCCUUUUUUAGAUUGAUCCUCAAUAGUUAUGGAUCUUAGGAAUUAUUUGAUUUGAUAUUAUUCUAAUGUAAUAUGAAAUCAACCAAAUAUAUUGUGCUACUUUUAGUUUUUCUAUAAAACUCAUAGCCUGUUAUGAGUCUUGGAUUAAGGUUUUAUUCUACAAGGUUUCUACAUAUUUCUUAUUUUCCUCUGUACUCAAUUCUCCAAGGGAGAAAGAUUGGAUCAAUUCUUAAUUUAAAUAAGGUUUUCUUA